CCUACGGGAGGCAGCAGUGAGGAAUAUUGGUCAAUGGACGAGAGUCUGAACCAGCCAAGUAGCGUGAAGGAUGACGGCCCUAUGGGUUGUAAACUUCUUUUAUAUGGGACUAAAACGUUCCCCGUGUGGGAUUUUGUAUGUACCAUAUGAAUAAGGAUCGGCUAACUCCGUGCCAGCAGCCGCGGUAAAACGGAGGAUCCGAGCGUUAUCCGGAUUUAUUGGGUUUAAAGGGAGCGUAGGUGGGUUGUAAAGUAGGUUGUGAAAGUUUGCGUCUCAACCGUAAAAGUGCAAUUGAUACUGGCAGUCUUGAGUGCAGUAGAGGUGGGCGGAAUGCGUGGUGUAGCGGUGAAAUGCUGAGAUAUCACGAAGAACUCCGAUUGCGAAGGCAGUUCACUGGUCUGCAACUGACACUGAGGCUCGAAAGUGUGGGUAUCAAACAGGAUUAGAUACCCCGGUAGUC
RNAcentral lists this ribosomal RNA (460 nucleotides) under uncultured bacterium. RNAcentral's name for it is "partial 16S ribosomal RNA". It matches the Rfam family "Bacterial small subunit ribosomal RNA", at positions 338 to 795 of the family's 1533-position model. The record is from RNAcentral.